UUUUGGAGAGUUUGAUCCUGGCUCAGGAUGAACGCUGGCGGCGUGCUUAACACAUGCAAGUCGAACGGCCCUUCGGGGCAGUGGCAGACGGGUGAGUAACGCGUUGGUACUUACCCCAAAGUGGGGAAUAACCUGCCGAAAGGUGGGCUAAUACCGCAUAGUAUCGUAAGAUUAAAGCCUUCGGGCGCUUUGGGAUAGGCCUGCGACUUAUCAGCUAGUUGGUGAGGUAACUGCUCACCAAGGCUAAGACGAGUAGCUGGUUUGAGAGGAUGAUCAGCCACACUGGGACUGAGACCCGGCCCAGACUCCUACGGGAGGCAGCAGUGAGGAAUUUUCCGCAAUGGACGAAAGUCUGACGGAGCGACGCCGCGUGAGGGAUGACGGCCUUCGGGUUGUAAACCUCUUUU
This 407-nucleotide ribosomal RNA is filed under the name candidate division CPR2 bacterium. RNAcentral describes it as "bacterial SSU rRNA". It matches the Rfam family "Bacterial small subunit ribosomal RNA", at positions 1 to 437 of the family's 1533-position model. The record is from RNAcentral. Lineage: Bacteria; candidate division CPR2.